AUGGAAAUGAAAGGUCGUUUUUUUAUUUUUUUUAGGCCAAACAACCUUGCAGAAGCAGACAGAGGUCUGUCUGGAAAUAAUGAAAUGUUAGAUCUGGUGGCAGUAAAUGAACAAUCUUUUCCAAACUUCACUCCAAGACGAUCUGACCAUGUGCAUCUAACUCAUAUAUAUCCUAGUGUGAACAACUACCUCACUCAAGAAAUAGUGGAUCUGGUGGCAGUAGAAGAACAAUCCUUUCCAAACUUCACUCCAAGACCUUCUCACCAUGUGCAUCUACCUCAUAUACAUCCUACUGUGACCAACUAUCUCACUCAAGGUCAAGGGCAUGGCUCACUACAACAAGAUAUGGAGCCCUCAGGACUGAUCGAGCGUUGGUAUGAAGAAUCGAACACGGUGGACGAUGACAAACAGGAUCGGGAGGAAUACUGA
RNAcentral lists this long non-coding RNA (429 nucleotides) under Oncorhynchus mykiss (rainbow trout). Its description in RNAcentral is "lncRNA (ENSOMYG00000076566.1)". The record is from RNAcentral. Lineage: Eukaryota; Metazoa; Chordata; Actinopteri; Salmoniformes; Salmonidae.